GCCUUCGUGGUGUAGUGGUUAACAUGCUUGAUGCAUAUUCGAGGGGUCUGUGGUUCGAAUCCCGUCGAGGGCA
This 73-nucleotide transfer RNA is filed under the name Stegodyphus mimosarum. It matches the Rfam family "tRNA". Rfam says of the family: Transfer RNA (tRNA) molecules are approximately 80 nucleotides in length. Their secondary structure includes four short double-helical elements and three loops (D, anti-codon, and T loops). The record is from Rfam by way of RNAcentral. Lineage: Eukaryota; Metazoa; Arthropoda; Arachnida; Araneae; Eresidae.